GGAGGGUGCAAGCGUUGUUCGGAAUUACUGGGCGUAAAGGGCGCGUAGGCGGGAUCGAGUAGUUGGGGUGUGAAAGCCCUGGGCUCAACCCAGGAAGUGCGCCCCCGAAACCCAUCGAUCUUGAGUUCCGGAGGGGAGCGGGGAAUUCCCAGUGUAGAGGUGAAAUUCGUAGAUAUUGGGAGGAACACCGGUGCCGAAGGGGCCGCUCUGGACGGAUACUGACGCUGAGGCGCGAAAGCGUGGGGAGCAAACAGGAUUAGAUACCCUGGUAGUCCACGCUGUAAACGAUGUGCACUAGGUGUCGGGGGUAUUGACCCCCCCGGUGCCGCCGCUAACGCAUUAAGUGCACCGCCUGGGAAGUACGGCCGCAAGGUUG
Molecule: ribosomal RNA, 376 nt
Filed under: uncultured organism
Description: partial 16S ribosomal RNA
Rfam family: Bacterial small subunit ribosomal RNA
Source: RNAcentral